This is a small nuclear RNA of Dipodomys ordii (Ord's kangaroo rat), 107 nucleotides long. The record is from Ensembl. NCBI's taxonomy places the organism in Eukaryota, Metazoa, Chordata, Mammalia, Rodentia, Heteromyidae.
GUACUCAAUUCAGCAUCACAUACACUAACAUUGGAAUGGUACAGAGAAGAUUAUCAUGGCCUCUGCACAGGGAUAACAUGUAAAUUCCUGGAUCAUUCCAUAUGUUU